This 2989-nucleotide ribosomal RNA is filed under the name Salmonella enterica subsp. enterica serovar Derby. RNAcentral describes it as "23S ribosomal RNA". It matches the Rfam family "Bacterial large subunit ribosomal RNA". RNAcentral also lists the same sequence under 1 other name. Lineage: Bacteria; Pseudomonadati; Pseudomonadota; Gammaproteobacteria; Enterobacterales; Enterobacteriaceae. The record is from RNAcentral.
GGUUAAGCGACUAAGCGUACACGGUGGAUGCCCUGGCAGUCAGAGGCGAUGAAGGGCGUGCUAAUCUGCGAUAAGCGCCGGUAAGGUGAUAUGAACCGUUAUAACCGGCGAUACCCGAAUGGGGAAACCCAGUGUGAUUCGUCACACUAUCAUUAACUGAAUCCAUAGGUUAAUGAGGCGAACCGGGGGAACUGAAACAUCUAAGUACCCCGAGGAAAAGAAAUCAACCGAGAUUCCCCCAGUAGCGGCGAGCGAACGGGGAGGAGCCCAGAGCCUGAAUCAGCAUGUGUGUUAGUGGAAGCGUCUGGAAAGGCGCGCGAUACAGGGUGACAGCCCCGUACACAAAAGCGCAUGUGCUGUGAGCUCGAUGAGUAGGGCGGGACACGUGGUAUCCUGUCUGAAUAUGGGGGGACCAUCCUCCAAGGCUAAAUACUCCUGACUGACCGAUAGUGAACCAGUACCGUGAGGGAAAGGCGAAAAGAACCCCGGCGAGGGGAGUGAAAAAGAACCUGAAACCGUGUACGUACAAGCAGUGGGAGCACAGGUUUACCUGUGUGACUGCGUACCUUUUGUAUAAUGGGUCAGCGACUUAUAUUCUGUAGCAAGGUUAACCGUAUAGGGGAGCCGCAGGGAAACCGAGUCUUAAUUGGGCGUUAAGUUGCAGGGUAUAGACCCGAAACCCGGUGAUCUAGCCAUGGGCAGGUUGAAGGUUGGGUAACACUAACUGGAGGACCGAACCGACUAAUGUUGAAAAAUUAGCGGAUGACCUGUGGCUGGGGGUGAAAGGCCAAUCAAACCGGGAGAUAGCUGGUUCUCCCCGAAAGCUAUUUAGGUAGCGCCUCGUGAAUUCAUCUCCGGGGGUAGAGCACUGUUUCGGCUAGGGGGCCAUCCCGGCUUACCAACCCGAUGCAAACUGCGAAUACCGGAGAAUGUUAUCACGGGAGACACACGGCGGGUGCUAACGUCCGUCGUGAAGAGGGAAACAACCCAGACCGCCAGCUAAGGUCCCAAAGUCAUGGUUAAGUGGGAAACGAUGUGGGAAGGCCCAGACAGCCAGGAUGUUGGCUUAGAAGCAGCCAUCAUUUAAAGAAAGCGUAAUAGCUCACUGGUCGAGUCGGCCUGCGCGGAAGAUGUAACGGGGCUAAACCAUGCACCGAAGCUGCGGCAGCGAACGUAUCACUUAAAGCGAUUCAGCGGGUUACGAUUGACGGAGCGAAGCGACGUCAAAGCGUAUACAAAGUCGAGUCGGUUUAAGGAUACGUUCGUUGGGUAGGGGAGCGUUCUGUAAGCCUGUGAAGGUGGCCUGUGAGGGUUGCUGGAGGUAUCAGAAGUGCGAAUGCUGACAUAAGUAACGAUAAAGCGGGUGAAAAGCCCGCUCGCCGGAAGACCAAGGGUUCCUGUCCAACGUUAAUCGGGGCAGGGUGAGUCGACCCCUAAGGCGAGGCCGAAAGGCGUAGUCGAUGGGAAACGGGUUAAUAUUCCCGUACUUGGUGUUACUGCGAAGGGGGGACGGAGAAGGCUAUGUUGGCCGGGCGACGGUUGUCCCGGUUUAAGCGUGUAGGUGUGUGUUCCAGGUAAAUCCGGUUCACUUUAACACUGAGGCGUGAUGACGAGGCACUACGGUGCUGAAGCAACAAAUGCCCUGCUUCCAGGAAAAGCCUCUAAGCAUCAGGUAACAUCAAAUCGUACCCCAAACCGACACAGGUGGUCAGGUAGAGAAUACCAAGGCGCUUGAGAGAACUCGGGUGAAGGAACUAGGCAAAAUGGUGCCGUAACUUCGGGAGAAGGCACGCUGACAUGUAGGUGAAGUGAUUUACUCAUGGAGCUGAAGUCAGUCGAAGAUACCAGCUGGCUGCAACUGUUUAUUAAAAACACAGCACUGUGCAAACACGAAAGUGGACGUAUACGGUGUGACGCCUGCCCGGUGCCGGAAGGUUAAUUGAUGGGGUCAGCGCAAGCGAAGCUCCUGAUCGAAGCCCCGGUAAACGGCGGCCGUAACUAUAACGGUCCUAAGGUAGCGAAAUUCCUUGUCGGGUAAGUUCCGACCUGCACGAAUGGCGUAAUGAUGGCCAGGCUGUCUCCACCCGAGACUCAGUGAAAUUGAACUCGCUGUGAAGAUGCAGUGUACCCGCGGCAAGACGGAAAGACCCCGUGAACCUUUACUAUAGCUUGACACUGAACAUUGAGCCUUGAUGUGUAGGAUAGGUGGGAGGCUUUGAAGCGUGGACGCCAGUCUGCGUGGAGCCGGCCUUGAAAUACCACCCUUUAAUGUUUGAUGUUCUAACGUGGACCCGUGAUCCGGGUUGCGGACAGUGUCUGGUGGGUAGUUUGACUGGGGCGGUCUCCUCCUAAAGAGUAACGGAGGAGCACGAAGGUUGGCUAAUCCUGGUCGGACAUCAGGAGGUUAGUGCAAUGGCAUAAGCCAGCUUGACUGCGAGCGUGACGGCGCGAGCAGGUGCGAAAGCAGGUCAUAGUGAUCCGGUGGUUCUGAAUGGAAGGGCCAUCGCUCAACGGAUAAAAGGUACUCCGGGGAUAACAGGCUGAUACCGCCCAAGAGUUCAUAUCGACGGCGGUGUUUGGCACCUCGAUGUCGGCUCAUCACAUCCUGGGGCUGAAGUAGGUCCCAAGGGUAUGGCUGUUCGCCAUUUAAAGUGGUACGCGAGCUGGGUUUAGAACGUCGUGAGACAGUUCGGUCCCUAUCUGCCGUGGGCGCUGGAGAACUGAGGGGGGCUGCUCCUAGUACGAGAGGACCGGAGUGGACGCAUCACUGGUGUUCGGGUUGUCAUGCCAAUGGCACUGCCCGGUAGCUAAAUGCGGAAGAGAUAAGUGCUGAAAGCAUCUAAGCACGAAACUUGCCCCGAGAUGAGUUCUCCCUGAGACUUAAAGUCUCCUGAAGGAACGUUGAAGACGACGACGUUGAUAGGCCGGGUGUGUAAGCGCAGCGAUGCGUUGAGCUAACCGGUACUAAUGAACCGUGAGGCUUAACCUU